RNAcentral lists this ribosomal RNA (253 nucleotides) under uncultured bacterium. RNAcentral's name for it is "partial 16S ribosomal RNA". It matches the Rfam family "Bacterial small subunit ribosomal RNA", at positions 524 to 776 of the family's 1533-position model. The record is from RNAcentral.
UACGUAGGGUGCGAGCGUUAAUCGGAAUUACUGGGCGUAAAGCGUGCGCAGGCGGUUCGUUGUGUCGGCGGGGAAAGCCCCGGGCUUAACCUGGGAAUGGCCGUUGAAACUGGCGAACUGGAGUGUGGCAGAGGGGGGUGGAAUUCCGCGUGUAGCAGUGAAAUGCGUAGAGAUGCGGAGGAACACCGAUGGCGAAGGCAGCCCCCUGGGCUAACACUGACGCUCGGGCACGAAAGCGUGGGGAGCAAACAGG